UCCUCACGCAACCUGCUGCAAGUUCCCAUGCAUGGCCGCACUGUACAAGCUACAGUACCUGCGGCCUGCUUCCAUUCGCCGCAAGGCACUCAUGACCUGCGCCGCCCGGAACAGAGGGAAGACUCGCCCGUUCUCGUGCCCCGCGCGCCCGGCAGCAGGGAUGUGACGUCCGCUCUCCGCGAGCCAUCAGCAGGGCGGCGGCAUCCGCCGUCCCUCCCAACGGACACCAGAGUCACGACGAAACGCCCUCAUCAUGACCCGGCGGCUACAUUCACCGAGGAGGCCAUCGACAGGGCGCAACGACAGUUGGCGCGCCACCAUCCUCCUCCAGCAUGCGCGUCGGCAGACGUCGAAGGCCGGUGAGGACGCCGGGAACCUGGGAACUUGGUUCCUCCCUUCAUGUUGUACUUUUUACCCGGCUGUGUUUAACUCUUUACUGUUCUCCACACCCGGUCUCACCUGUAACCCGG
This 470-nucleotide long non-coding RNA is filed under the name Setaria viridis. Its description in RNAcentral is "long non-coding RNA (SVIR_LNC011248)". The record is from RNAcentral. Lineage: Eukaryota; Viridiplantae; Streptophyta; Magnoliopsida; Poales; Poaceae.